ACUACCGACGAGUGUCGUAAUGAAGCUGAGGCUUUUCAGCUGCCAUCUUCCCUUAGGAGGCUAUUUGCCACUAUAUUGGUCUUUUGUGAGCCCAGCAAUGUGUGUGGCCUAUGGGACAGACACUUGGAAGCUAUGACAGAAGAUUAUCGACUAACCCAAAUGUGCCCCCAUGCAAUUGAGCAGAUGGCAUUAUUAGAUAUAAAAAAUAUGCUUGAAUAGAUGGGCAAGGACAUAUCAUCAUUUCCUCUCCCAGAAAUUGAUGAGUCAUAUGAUGCCUUAGAUAAUGAGGCCAGGGAGAUCAUAGAGGAGUCCACGAUAGAGGUGGACCCAGAACACCUUGGCUUGUCAUCUUUCCUAAACCCAGAAUAGAGAUAUGCAUACGAGGAGAUACUUGCAACCAUCAGUAGUGACCAAGGAGGUGUGUUCUUUGUUGAUGGACCCAGAGGCACCGGAAAGACUUAUUUGUACAAAGCACUACUCGCAAAGUACGUUCUGAGGGUAAAAUAG
This 507-nucleotide ribosomal RNA is filed under the name Triticum aestivum (bread wheat). RNAcentral describes it as "partial small subunit ribosomal RNA". Lineage: Eukaryota; Viridiplantae; Streptophyta; Magnoliopsida; Poales; Poaceae. The record is from RNAcentral.